UAUAGCAGCAAUAUCACCCUGAAGCCCAAGACUGGUCACCCACUGAAGCUAAGCAGGGUUGAGCCUGGUUAGUACCUGGAUGGGAGACCUCCUGGGAAAACUAGGCUGCUGUUGGAA
This 117-nucleotide ribosomal RNA is filed under the name Sinocyclocheilus anshuiensis. The record is from RNAcentral. Lineage: Eukaryota; Metazoa; Chordata; Actinopteri; Cypriniformes; Cyprinidae.